UACAGAGGGUGCAAGCGUUGUUCGGAAUCACUGGGCGUAAAGCGCGCGCAGGCGGGUGGGCAAGUCGGAAGUGAAAUCUCGCCGCUCAACGACGAGGCUGCUUCGGAUACUACCCAUCUAGGGACCGGUAGAGGCUGGUAGAAUUGCAGGUGUAGCGGUGGAAUGCGUAGAGAUCUGCAAGAAUACCCGUGGCGAAGGCGGCCAGCUGGGCCGGGUCCGACGCUGAGGCGCGAAAGCCAGGGGAGCAAGCGGG
RNAcentral lists this ribosomal RNA (253 nucleotides) under uncultured bacterium. Its description in RNAcentral is "partial 16S ribosomal RNA". It matches the Rfam family "Bacterial small subunit ribosomal RNA", at positions 524 to 776 of the family's 1533-position model. The record is from RNAcentral.